GUAGGUGAACCUGCGGAAGGAUCAUUAACACGUUUUAUCACAAAACAAACCAAACUCUGUGAACUGAGGUGGGCCUCCCAUUUAUGGGGGUAAAAGAAACUUGUCGCAAGACUAGUUUCUCUGCUUGCCGAACUUUAUUUAACCGAUAUAACCUUGUCAAGGGACUCUUGUAGUCACUUGUCAGGUAUAAAUUUUAUUUUCUCUUAUGUGCAUCUGUUGACACCGACACGUGUCGCAGAGUCACUUAAAACAAACUCGAACAACUCUUAGCAACGGAUAUCUUGGUUCCC
This 290-nucleotide unclassified non-coding RNA is filed under the name rhizosphere metagenome. RNAcentral's name for it is "partial ribosomal RNA internal transcribed spacer region". The record is from RNAcentral.